RNAcentral lists this transfer RNA (72 nucleotides) under Bos taurus (domestic cattle). It matches the Rfam family "tRNA". From Rfam's summary of the family: Transfer RNA (tRNA) molecules are approximately 80 nucleotides in length. Their secondary structure includes four short double-helical elements and three loops (D, anti-codon, and T loops). Lineage: Eukaryota; Metazoa; Chordata; Mammalia; Artiodactyla; Bovidae. The record is from Rfam by way of RNAcentral. RNAcentral also lists the same sequence under 4 other names.
UCCCAGGUGGCUCAUACAGCAUAGUGUCUGCCUGCAAUGCAGGAGACUCAGGUUUGAUCCCUGGCUUGGGAA